This 334-nucleotide unclassified non-coding RNA is filed under the name soil metagenome. RNAcentral describes it as "partial contains 5.8S ribosomal RNA, internal transcribed spacer 2, and large subunit ribosomal RNA". The stretch from base 1 to 120 matches the Rfam family "5.8S ribosomal RNA", at positions 35 to 154 of the family's 154-position model. The record is from RNAcentral.
GAUGAAGAACGUAGCGAAAUGCGAUAAGUAGUGUGAAUUGCAGAAUUCAGUGAAUCAUCGAAUCUUUGAACGCACAUUGCGCCCCUUGGUAUUCCAUGGGGCAUGCCUGUUUGAGCGUCAUUUGUACCUUCAAGCUUUGCUUGGUGUUGGGUGUUUGUCCAUUCUCUUGCAGAGGGACUCGCCUUAAAGUAAUUGGCAGCCAGUGUUUUGGUUUUGAAGCGCAGCACAAGUCGCGAUUCAACGCUAUACGCCAGCUUCCACAAGCCUUUUUCACUUUUGCCCUCGGAUCAGGUAGGGAUACCCGCUGAACUUAAGCAUAUCAAUAAGCGGAGGA